This 425-nucleotide ribosomal RNA is filed under the name uncultured bacterium. Its description in RNAcentral is "partial 16S ribosomal RNA". It matches the Rfam family "Bacterial small subunit ribosomal RNA", at positions 354 to 796 of the family's 1533-position model. The record is from RNAcentral.
GUGGGGAAUCUUGCGCAAUGGGCGAAAGCCUGACGCAGCCAUGCCGCGUGAAUGAUGAAGGUCUUAGGAUUGUAAAAUUCUUUCACCGGGGACGAUAAUGACGGUACCCGGAGAAGAAGCUCCGGCUAACUUCGUGCCAGCAGCCGCGGUAAUACGAAGGGGGCUAGCGUUGCUCGGAAUUACUGGGCGUAAAGGGCGCGUAGGCGGACAGCUUAGUCAGAGGUGAAAGCCCAGGGCUCAACCUUGGAAUUGCCUUUGAUACUGGCUGUCUUGAGUUUGGGAGAGGUGAGUGGAACUCCGAGUGUAGAGGUGAAAUUCGUAGAUAUUCGGAAGAACACCAGUGGCGAAGGCGACUCACUGGCGCAAUACUGACGCUGAGGCGCGAAAGCGUGGGGAGCAAACAGGAUUAGAUACCCUAGUAGUCC